RNAcentral lists this unclassified non-coding RNA (142 nucleotides) under soil metagenome. RNAcentral's name for it is "partial internal transcribed spacer 1". The record is from RNAcentral.
CAGAGUUGCAAAACUCCCUAAACCAUUGUGAACCUACCCCUAAACAGUUGCUUCGGCGGCGCCCGGACAGGCCCGCCGGAGACCACUAAACUCUUGUUUUUUAACGCUGGCCUCUCUGAGUUUACUGUACUGUAAUAAGUCA